GGCCGGUAUCCAGCAUCGUUAAGAGCAAAGGCAUGCUUUGUGGUUGCAGAUUGGCACCGGAGUGGCCCUCCCUUCCUCUCCCGUGGGGCCCGAGAGGGUCCGGGGGCCAGGGGAGCCAGUGGCGGCAGCCUGCCUCAGUGCAUGUUCUCUGAGCUCCUCCUGACCUUGCUGGGAGUGUGUCUGAUCAGACAUUUCCCCUGUGACUAAAUAUUUGGUCACGGCAGCAGGAGAGAAUUCCAUCAGCGGACAGCUCUAUUUUUAAGGCUCUGGCUUUGUUUUCUGUUUCCCGAGAGGCAGCCCCUGCAGCAGGCUGGAGCCUCUCACACUGACAGCCCGCCUCGCAUAAUGUUAAGCAGGCUUCGGACACUUGCUGGAAGGCAGGGAAUUGCAAUGGAAAAGGGCGGAGGUGAAAGGCUGUGCUCCUCGGGGUGAAGGCAGCUCCUGGGAUCUACUGUCAGGCCAAGGUCAACAGGAAGAAAGUCUUUGAUGCACUUUAGUUCUGGAUUCAAGAGUAUUUCUGACAUCUGAGCUACCCGGCAUGUCUGGACGUUUUCUACUUUCUCAGACUUCCUGGAUCGAAAUUAAGCUUCUCACCUUUAAAGAUCCCAGCUGUGAGCUUUUGCCUGCUAGGAACAGAGUCCCAGUUCACAUAGGACUCCCAGCUACCUCAGGACCCUGGGCAGAGUCCCGGCUCACACAGGACCCCCAACUCCCUCACACCUGCUGACUGAUGAACGCCGGUGUGUUUUCUAUCCGUGACCUGAAUCAGGUAAAAGCUGCAUGGAGAAAUGGCAGGGGGUGGGCACAAGGAUUGUGGUGACAUCCCCCUGUGGGUGCAGGACCUGCAGCCUUAGGGGCAUGUGGCCUGGUGUCCGCUGUCUCCAUGCCAGGUGUGCAGGCACUGCCAUCAUCUUGGGGUCAGCAUCUAGGGCCCUAGUGGAUUUCACACUCAGCCCUAUUGGGUAUCAGAUUCUGUCUGGGAUGUACCAUAGGAGUUAGAGACGUGGGUUGGAAGUGGGACUCAGAGAUCAGAGACAAAUAUGGCCAACUGAGAAUUAGGCUGGGCUCCAGCUCUGGGUGCAGAUGGGUGGAAAAGUCAGAGGUGCAGCCGCUGCUCGGGAAUCUGGUGGGAAGAGGCUCAGCUCACCUGAGUGGCCAGGCCUCUAGGCGAUGGGGACUCCAAGGCGAGCAGCCUGGAGGUACUCCUGGUUUUCCCAUCAGCCCCAGUCAGUGUCUAGGGAAUGCCCAGGAGGAGCAGCAGAAGCCCUGGGUUCCUGCUACCCACAGUCUUUAAGGUCACACCUCUGCCCUGGGGUCAGGGAGCUGGGGCAUCAUAGACACCUCCUGCCUCAUGCUGUCUGCACCCUGCAGCAUCACUCAGAGACUCCUCCAUUGCAAGGACACUCUGCCUGGUGCUAGCUGGGAGCCAAGGGAAGAUUCGAUCAGGAGCCUGUGGGUGCCUUCACAGGCUUUCAGGAACUCUGAUGGACUCAUAAGGGCUCUCCUUCCUGGUGCUGGCUCAGUAGCACUGACAUGUGCCAUGUCUGUCUUGUCUUUCAAAAGGACUCCCUGGAUAAGAGUUAGGCAGGGGCAGGCCACCUGUUUCUGGGAUCUCCAAUCACUGCCACUGGAAUCUCAGGGGACUCACCCAAACCCACCCACAUGGCAGGCAGCUAUCCUCACAAAUCAAUGAUGUUCCACGAGUUUUUCCAGCAGAGCACACAGAGGCCCCUCUUCAAUAACUGCUUAAUAUCUGUAAUAGGUCUUAGUGUUUUCUAAGACAAAGUCCUGUUGAGAAGGCCUGAGCUCCCGCGUGUCUGGUGUCUGGCUCCGCAGGAAGGAUUUCCACGUCUGCUUGCAGGCUGGGGUCCAGUCUGGCUCUGGAUGGAAUGCUCCCUUGCACAGAGGAAGGGAACCACAGAAGGCAGCAUUCAAAGCCUGAGUCCCCGGAGGAUGGAGGACACAGGAUGUGGAAUGCAGGUGUCCUGUGAGCAGGGCAGGGAGCAUGGAAGAGAGCGGUCUCGGGCUGUGCAGAAGGAAAGGCAGCAGCAGCUGCGCUGGCCCGCUAGGCUUUCUGUGAAACCCUUGGCUUUUGAAAGACUCAUCUCUUGAGGGGCAUUUGGGGUGAGGCAGGGUGGAGAGGACCUGGAGUAAUGUUGUCAGGGCUCGUGAAGGAAGAGAAGUGGCCCUCUGUGCUGAGUGUUGGCAGAGAAGACUUGGAAAGAAUUUGAGUUAAUACAAUUUCAACAAAGAGUUUUCAAAGGUUGUUCCAGGUGGCCUCUGUCGAUGCCUCUCAAGGGAGGAAGACAUCUCCAACCACAUUUCUGGAGCCAGCCCGGCAGCUUUAUCCAUGUCAAUAGCUGAGAACAGCGCCAGGCAGCAAAUGUGCAAAGAAGCGUGUGGAGAUGUCAUGGGGAUUCCAGCUUUCAGCCUUGCCCUCCAGGAGAUGACCAUGCUGGGAAGUUCUCCUCCACAGAGCAUUUGUGGGAGUUGUCAGAGAGUGGAGGGCAUGUGAGUGGCCAGGCCUCCAGGCCUGGGGAUCGGGACUCUGAAGCAAGCAUCCUGGAGGUACUUCUAGUUUUCCCAUCAGCCCGGGUAUGUCUGGGGAUGCCCAGAAGGAGCAGCAGAAGGCCUGGGUUCUUCCUACUCAUGUCCAGAGUGCACAGUUCCACACCCUGCAUCGCAAUGGGGGCUUAAAGCAGUGGCCACGUCUGUUUCUCUCCACCGGGGAGCUCAGUGCAGAAUCCCAGUUGCGAGGCUCUGUCUCCAAGCACCCGCCUCACUGGAACAAGUCAUCACAACAACUAAGACAGCUUGCAAUCAAGACUACACAGCCCUCAUCCUUGUAAGGAAACAACAUGACAGGUAUUAAAGCGUGGCUAUUUGAGGAAAUCAUAAUAAAUAUCUUUGGCAGAGUAAGGCUGGUGAUGGCUUGAGUCUCAGUGGCUGAGGCUCUGUCAGCUUUCCCAUUAUGAAACCCAUUUUUCAGUGUUUUUAACUUGAAAGUAAAGAUGUGCUCCUGGCAGAAGAAACCCAGUACAUGAAGUCUCCAUCCAGAAAGAGGGACCUGAACAGAUUUGUUCAGAUCAGUUGAGAUUGUAAAGAAAGACUGUCCUGAUAGGUCUGGCGCUGGGACAAAUCACCCAAUUUCUGUUGCAAGCUAGUUAACAGUAGGAAAAUGUUUGUGGAAAUCUUGCCCAGAGAGCACCUGCCUGAUGUUUAUCUGAAAGUGCCUAUAAGUGGGUCAAAUUCUGGGGGCUAAAAGCAUUGGCCAUGUGGCUUUUGGAGAGCAGAGGAGGGGCACCUUUCCCCCUAGAAAAAGCUCAGAUAGGAUCUGAGGCUCCAGGAACUGCGCCUGGCUUCCUGACCUUUCUGAGGGAAUACAUCGAACCUGGCAUCUAGCGGCUGUUGAGUCCUGACUGUCCUCUUCAUGUCAUAAGUCAAAUGCCUGCUUCUAAGUCAUGCAGGCCCCAAAAGCAUCACUUUGCCUAAUUAAUGAGUACCCGGAUGGGAACCCUAGUUCUCCAUCAUUAGAUGCCUCCACUCCGUUUCCCAAAGCUCUUCACAAACAAGGUAAGUAGAUUCCUGCCCACACGCAAUGUUCAAGGUCUAGAAAAUAAUCAAAUGAAAUGAAAUCUCAUCCUGCUUCAUCAGCACUGAACAGCCUUUAGGCCAUCAGUAUUGCCAAUAGGCCGUGGUGUCUUCCUGAUAGAACUGUGGAUUCAGUGGUGGGUAUGCAUACCGUUUGUAUCGACUGUUUAUCAUGAGAGGGUGGAGAUUUAGACGGCGGUGAGCUGCAGCAGCGCUCGUGUUUCCUGGGAAUUCUCAGUUCUAGGGCGUGUGGUCCAAACUCUUAGCUGGGUUUGGUUGGGAACCUCCACAGUUGAAACAUCCCAUGGACCAGCGUAGCAGUUUAAAAACAUUCUUCCAUUUUAUUUUAUUAUUUUAGUUUUGUAUUUUUAGUAGAGAUGGGGGUUCACCAUGUCGGCCAGGCUUGUCUCGCACUACUGACUUCAGGUGAUCCGCCCGCCUUGGCCUCCCACAUGCUGGGAUGACAGGCGUGAGCCACCGUGUCUGGCCUAAAAGCAUUCUUUCUACUUUUCUUUUUCUGUGAAAAAUUUGGGAAGCAUAAAAAAAAAAAUAGGAAAAAUUAAAUAGUCAUUCUGCAUUCUCUGUCUAUAAUCUCCAGCUAGCCAGUGUUAGCAUUGUUAAACCUUCUUCCAGUCAUUUCUCAGUGACACAGUCACACGCUUUACAAAAGUGAGAUUCUAUUUUCUAGUUCUCCAUUCUGAUUUACGUAUUUAUCAUCGUAUUAGGUGCAUUUUUCUGUCUCCAUAGAUAGUCUUAGAAAAAUAGCAUUUAAAAAUUAACUACGUAAUCGUCCCUUGUAUGGAUUUUACACCUUCUCUUUAUGGACGCAGUGUUCUUAUUUUUUUGCUAUUAUAAAAACUUGCCUUGAUGAGCAUCUUUACAUAUGAAUACUUUUAUGCUUCUGAUUAUUUAUUUAAAAUACACUCCUGGAAGCUCCUAAAAAUGACUGUAUCAAAGAAUGAACCUAUUACAAAUUGUUCUGAUACAGAGUAAGACACUGUCCCCACCACAUACAGCAUAAAAUACUUCUGCGCUCUACUAUAGGCAGAGCGUUUCCAAAACAAAGCUGACAUUUUUGGAUAGGUUAAUAUGGUCAUGCCUCUUUUUGCUUUUUUUUUUUCUGUUGUGUAGGUAAAACUACUAAAAUAAUAUUAAUCCACUUUUCUGUGUUCGUUGGUAAUAUUUCUUCAUAAUUCUUCAUUCCCUCCCUUUCCCAGUUUUGGUUCACUGUGAGCAGUUCACAGUGUCACCGUCCUGCCUUGGACCCUAACGAUAUGACUUGCUCAGCCACUGUGAAAUGAACAGGUACAUGCCAGAGGCUUUAAACACAUGUGUGGAGUUUCCGCCCGUCCUGUUUCCCUUCUGCCCUUAGCCAUGAAAUGAGCAUGCCCAGCUUGUCACUGGGCUCAGAGCGAAGAGACGUAUGAGACACCCCUAAGCCCAGGUGUCACUCUGGAGCCUAGCCAGCCAAGCAGUAGCUGAUGAGCAGUAGCCCAUCCAUGAAUGAGAUUUAAAUGCAUGUGAUUUUAGCCACAGAAAUUUAAGAGAUGUUUGUUACCCGGGAUUAUCACAACGAAAGCUGAUUUGAAGAGCUUCGUUUGUCAGAUGACCAAUAUGAAGCUUAGAAAGAUGAAGCCAUUUGGCCAAAGUUACCCAGGAAUCAAUGGGAGAGUGUAGAUGAAACCCAAGUCUGCCCUAGUUCUCGAGGUAGUAUUGCUUCAUGGCUGGUGCACACAAGUACGGCCUUAUGAUUUCCUGUGUUCUGGCUGGAGUUCUCGGGGCUUCCCCUGAUGCCUACGGCAGCUGUAGACCUGAGAUCCUGCCCCACUUCGGAAGAUAGCAGCUAUCACAGAUGAGGUGGCGGACAGGGCGAGAGCAGGGCCUGGGGAAGGCAGCAGCAAAAUAGCCGGUGUGAAAUGACUGGCCACUUUAAGUCACUUAUUAUGAGUAAUUCAUUUAGAAUUUGAGAAAAUGAAUGUCAAAAUGUGAUGCUUAACACACACACAGAUUCAUAUUUAUGAACGUGAGCUAGGGAGUCACACUGCUCAGUGUGAAAUUCCAGUCGCCUGACUCCCUACCUUUCUGACUUAUAAGUUAUGAGAGCAUCUGUGUAUUUCAGCUUCUUCCUCCAUAACAUGAGAUGACAGGAGUGCUUUCCUCAUACAAAUGAUGUGACAAUUAUAUAAAAUGAUACUUAUUAAUACAUGGAAGAGUGCCUGGCAGAUAGUAGGCACUCAAUAAAUCUUAAAGAAUUACUAGUUUUAGUACCUGCCCUUCAGAGCCCACUGGACUUGAUGUAAAGCACUGGCCACCGUAGCUUACCUUUUCUGUUACUUGAACCAAUUCACAGUUCCAUGUUAAGGUAUGAGGAUUUCUGGAUGUCAGCCCUGAUGAUUUGGACUUUGGUUCCUUUGAUCAUUAGUAAGGUUGGAUGUGCAUAUUGGCAAGUGGUGCCGUUGGGACUUUGUCAAUGAGCGAAAUGUUUCAAAUCGUAUGUCAAUCUCAUCUUCAGUUCUGUCUUUUUCAAAACCCUCUGAUUAUAAUCCAGCUGCACAGAGCGUGAGACUGACGCGCGUUAGGAAUCCCAUUGGUUCUGACAUCUCUAACGCCCCUUUCUGUUUGGAUUCCACACAGAAUGCCUGCCGUUUGCAUGGUUCUAAUACUGAGUGUCAGCUCCUUAAUAACCAGUAGGCAAAGAAAUGAACAGGAAAGAAAGAGAGCUGGGCCUGGGGAUUACAGGUGAUAUGAAUUUAUGGCUGUGACCAGAUUGUCAGAGUCAUCUAGGAUUUAGUACAGCUGUCAGCAGAAGGUGAGCUCACAGGCAGUCUUCUGGAGUCUGGGAUCCAGCCAAAGGCCAGCAAGCCCAACUGAGGAACAGAGGUGGGAAAAUUGGCUAGCUCUGCUGAUCUGGUCAGAUGCUCAGCCCCACCGCAAGCUGGUUUUGUUACUUUGAAUGGAUGAUGCUGCUUCCUGAUGACUGAGCUCAGCCUGGUGCCUUUCUUCUGCUCACUGCCAUCUUCAACUGUUGGGGGCUAAGACUGAGGCCUGGGCCUCUCCUUGGACCAAACUUGGGUGUGGUCCUGGUGACACAUGAAACAGAAGUGUGGUGGAGGCGCAGAAGGUGAAGAGUCCUAGAAGCAGGUGGAAACUCGGUUCCAAUUACUUUCUUUUGUUUCCUGGCACAUAUGCCAAAACCAGGAAAUUCUUUUCUUUGUGGAAUCUGCUUUUCCAGUGGAGUUUCCUAUAUGAUUAAACACUUUGAUCAUGUAUGUAUUUUUUAAUGGAGUCUCGCUCUGUUGCCCAGGCUGGAAUGCGAUGGUGUGAUCUCAGCUCACUGGAACCUCCACCUCCCGAGUUCAAGCGAUUCUCCUGCCUCAGCCUCCUGAGUAGCUGGGAUUACAGUUACCCGCCAUCACGCCUGGCUAAUUUCUGUAUUUUUUUUUAAAUUUUUUAUUGCAUUUUAAGUUUGGGGGUACAUGUGCAAAACAUGCAAGACAGUUGCAUAGGUACACACAUAGCAGUGUGUUUUGCUUCCUUUCUCCCCUUCACCCACAUUUGGCAUUUCUCCCCAGGCUAUCCCUCCCCAGCUCCGCCCCCCACCGCUGGCCCUCCCCUUUUCCCCCCAGUAGACCCCAGUGUUUAGUUAAUUUCUGUAUUUUCAGAAGAUACAGGGUUUCAUCACAUUGGUCAGGCUGUUCUCAAACUCCUGACCUCGGGUGAUCCACCCACCUCAGCCUCCCAAAGUGUCGGGAUUACAGGCAUGAGCCACUGCACCCAACCCAAUUACCUUCUUAUUAAGAGGAAAAGAAAAUAUCCCAGUUGGUUGCCAUCCUCUUGAAGCCGGGGGGUGUCUGGUCUCUGUAACCAUUUCCCUUUCCUGCACCUAUUAUAGUGCUAACCGUGCAACCAGUCUCCAAUCAUUGGUCAUUUUUAUCUUUUUCCAGGAUUGAUAAGUGUGUCGUGUUCAAUAAUACUUAGAAAGAAUUAAAUAAUCACAUAAUCUCUGAGUGAAGAGGGACUUUGGAGGCAGCUAUUGCCUGUUUUCCAAAAUAUAUUUAGCAGGCCUCUAAUGCAAUUAAUUCCAUCGAUGGGCAGCCGUGAGGCUCAGGUGCUCUUUAUUACACUGAGUGGAAACUUCCCUAUUUUUUUUUUUUUUUAGCAGAGUGAGGGAGAAGACAUCCCCAGGCCUUGUAGACAUAACCUUUACCCCCUUCUCUAUCCUCUCUCAUUACAGAUGUGUUCUUGGCUCAACAGAAUGGGCCUAGGUGGAAGCUGAAAUUAAUGAAGAGGUGCUGCUUACAGCCUUUUGAGCAAGAAGUUUGGUAUCCAGUUAUUACACCUUGAGGAUUGGAGCAGGUCGUUCUCACCAAGUUCCGAAGCCCAUGUAAAAUGGUACCAUCCUGUUUCACUGGACCCCGCUCUGCAGAAAGCAGUGGACAAAAAGAUCAACCUUCAGCCCUCUGCUUAAGCGAGUUCUGACGUCAUUGAAUAACUUCUGCAGCAUGGAAGUGCCAGGACCCUCAUUGGCUCCUCAUGGCCAAAUAGCCUCACUCUCCAUUAGAAGAGAAAGCCUCACUCUCGGCCGGGCGCGGUGGCUCAAGCCUGUAAUCCUAGCACUUUGGGAGGCCGAGGCGGGUGGAUCACGAGGUCAACAGAUCUCUCGAUCUGGUCAACAUGGUGAAGCCCCGUCUUUACUAAAAUUACAAAAAAUUAGCUGGGCACGGUGGUGCGUGCCUGUAAUCCCAGCUGCUCGGGAGGCUGAGGCAGGAGAAUUGCCUGAACCCAGGAGGCGGAGAUUGCGGUGAGCCGAGAUCGCGCCAUUGCACUCCAGCCUGGGCAACAAGAGCGAAACUCCGUCUCAAAAAAAAAAAAAAAAAAAAAAAAAAAAAAAGAAAGCCUCACUCUCCAUUAGAAGCCCAGGAAAGCAAAAUCAGGGACUGCUUUAAAAACAGUGUGAUGAUAAAGAAUUUCAGAAGAAAAUAAAGAUUUUACCACUGCUCAGUCAUGAAUGCUCGUAACAGGCUGGGGAGUAGGAACUAUGGUUAUCACAGCCCCUUUUUGAUAGAGAGGGAAAUUGUCCAAAAUUAUGCAAAGCAUAAGUGGCCAAGCCAGCAUUUGAACUCACAGCACUUUGCUGUGCUGUCUCUCAUGCCUUCUGCAGGGAAGUCUCCCUGGACAACCUUCACCCGUCUUCAUACCUCUCCCCUCCGCCUAGGCUAGGACAGCACGCUCGGACAGACCCAGCUCCUUCUGCUUCAUAAUGCACAGUUUGCAAUGCUGUAAUCGUCACCACAAUGACUGUUUCCAGUGCUUCUUUCCUGCUGCGUGGUUCAGUUCUUGUGGGCGGAGCCUGGUCUGUUUUCCCGCUGUGUGUGUCCAAUCGCUUGGCAGAGUCUCUUCCCUGCAGUCACUGACUGGGCUGAGCAUUUUUUCUUCCACCGGCUGAGCAUCUCAGCUGUCCUGCUAACUGGGGGCAGGCUGAGGGAGUGCUACUUCCAGAUAUCUUCUUUGAACUUUUUUUUUUGAGACAGGGUCUCACUCUGUUACCCAGGCUUUGCAGUCAUGGCUCGCUGCAGCCUCCACCUCCCAGGCUCAAGUGAUCUUCCGCCUAAGCCUCCCAAGUACCUGGGACCCAGGGCCUGCCCCCAGGGCAUCAAUCAUGUCCAGCUAAUUUUUGUGUUUUUUGUAGAGACAGGGUUUUCCCAUGUUUCCCAGGCUGGUCUUGAACUCCUGGCCUUAAGCAAUCUGCCUGCCUCAGCCUCUCAAAGUGUUGAGAUUACAGGGGUGAGCCAUGAGCUACCGCCCCCAGCCUUGCCUGCACUUUUGAAUGGCUCCCUUGCCAGGGUUCUGUGCAUGAUAGCAGUGGGAGAGAGAAGACAGGACUCUUGCUUCAGAGGGUGUCUUGGGGUCUGGGAAGGAAGAUGCUAACCUGAAACAGUGGGUAUGAGAGGCAGCAGCUCUUUCAGAGGGCCUCUCUGUACACGUUGAACUGCUGAGUCUUCCCUCUGAGGAUCACAGAUGUGAGCAGAGCAGUGAGGAGGGACAGAAAAAAAGGGAAAACUGGGUUUCUUCUGAGAUUCUUUAUUGCUACACUGUUUGUUUUUAAAGCAGUCCCUGAUUUUGCUCUCCUGGCCUUCUAAUGGAGAGUGAGGCUGUUUUGCCACAGUAUGGGCUGUCAGGGGACAAAUAAGCCAUUUCUGCUUGCUGACACUAAACGAAGCUUCCCUGCCGAGGAGGUGCCAAUGCAGCUGGCAGCAGCUCUGUGACGAGUGUGGUAGGUAACUAUUAGGCCACCAGGGGCAGGCAGCAAUCUCCCUAUGUAGAUAAUUCAGAGGAGGCCUUCCAGAGGCCCUGGGUUCAAAUCCCACUUCCACCUCCUCCUAGCUCUGUGAGUUUAGGGCCCACUCUGAGUCUCUAUGUCCUCACAGACAAAUUGUGGGAAAUGACACUUUCUCCCAUAGCAUUUACAGGCAGGUGUGGUGGUUUGAGUGUUUGUGUUCCUUUCAAAAUUCAUGCUGAAAUGUACUAGCCAGUGUAACAGGAUUAAGAGUUGGGGUGUCCAGAAGGAGGUGGUUAAAUCAUGAAAGUAGAGCCCUCACAGAUGAGAUCUGGUGCCGUUAUAAAAGGCACUGAUAGAAGGAGUCUGUCCCCUUUGUGCUUCCUCCCUCUGCCAUAUGAGGACACAGCAUUCCUCCCUUCAGAAUGAUGCAGCAGUCAGAAGGCUCCCUUGGAGGCAGACACCAGGCAGCCAACACGCCGGGCUGUGGUUUUGGACUUCCCAGCCUCUAGAACCAUGAGAAAUAAAUGUAUCGUUUUUAAAUAAAUUACCCAGCUGUUGGAUUUUGUUAUAGCAGUUAAUGGACUAGACAGCAGGUUAACUGAGCCUGAACUUGGGAAACAGUUUAAUAUAUAGUUCACUCAUUCUUUUACUUAGUUUCAACUACUGGGCUGAGCGUUGAUGACAUGCUUGGUAGACGCAAGACAUAUCUUACUCUAAGAGAGUCUUGUUCUAGGACAGUUCAGAUACUUAUGAGGCCAUAUUGUUCUUCUUACCCUUGCAUAAGCCCUUUUGAGCAACUUACUGGGUCCUAACUCCAAUUCCUUUCUCCUGUGGAAGACAUCUGGCAUUUUCACCAGUGGGUAUCCAUCCUCCCUCUGCAAUCCUUUCUUUUUCUAACUAGUGAAACUAAGGAAACAUUAGUUUUUUACCUGUACAUUUCAUGUGCAGAAACCCAACAUACACGGUGAAGGAUACAUUGUGGGUGCUUUUCUAGGUUCUUUCACAUGACAGGUAACAUGUGGAGAAGAUGGCUGGGCCUAUAGUGGGCCUCCCUGCUUCCCUAGGCUGGGCCAUUCAAAGCAGAGCUCCACUUCCCUUCAUCGUUAUAAUAGCCUUCUAACUGAUCUCGGGGCAAGUGACAGAGUCAGGUCCUUCAAAUUGGCAGAAAUUGCUGAAAAGUAUUCUGUCUCUUCUACCGGAGGGUUCUUAGCUGGCGAAUUGGAAUCCUGGCACUGCUGGAUGUCACCAUGUGACCAGAGCCAGCCUGAGAAAGAAGCCGCAGAAGGAAGCAGAGGCAGAGGUGGAGAGAUGGAGUUUGGGGUCCUGACAUUAGACCUGCCUCUCAACUUCACAGCUACAUGAUCACAUAGAUUGCCUUGGUUGAUUAGCCAGUUUCAGGUUGACUUUUAACUUUUAACCCACAGUGUCCUAAUACACCUUUCCCACUCAUUCCUUUGUUGCUUAAUUAGUAAGUUACGCUCUCUGCAAGAGUUUAACCUGGACAUAUCCAGUGGGGAUGAAGACACAGCCCUGCCCUUGGGGAACAUGUCUUCCAGUGGACAAGGCAUGGUCAGGCCCCAGUCAGCACAGCAGAAAGCACCAUGAGUAAGCAUCCAGGGACUAAGGUAGAAAAUAAUUAAUAUAGGAGGCCAAGCAGGUGAGUUGGUGAGAGCCUUUCAGACUGCAGAGUGAAUGAGGGUCUGUUCAGGAGGUCACAAUGGAGCAGGGGCUACUUCCAGAGCCCCCAGUUGGGCCAAUUCAGUGCCUGUGCACCGCUCAGCUGGGGUAUUACCGCAUCCUCCUUCCCCCAGCCCUGAGAUCCAGAAACCCAACACCCAGUAGUUCCCAGGAAUCUGAUGGCAAUCAGCUGGGCAAGGAAUCACGCAGUUCCAGAAAUAGGCAGCCUCAAAAAGAAGAUCCAGGCUGGGCACAGUGGCUCACGCCUGUAAUCCCAGCAAGUUGGGAAGCCAAGGCAGGCAGAUUGCUUGAGCCCAGGAGUUUGAGACCAGCCUGGGAAACUUGGUAAAACUCCAUAGCUACCAAAAUUAGCCAGACAUUAUGGCUUACAUAUGAAGGAUCAGUGUUAGAAUAGCGAGUAAACUUUGAUGGUAGUUCUGGAUAUUUGCCUCCUACUUCUGCUCCGACAGGAAUGUAGUCAAGAUUGCAUGGGGCAGACUUUGAAUUAGACAGUAAGCUUUCUGAGGACAGGGCCAGUUCCUUCACCUUUCUCUCCUGUGUGCCUAACAUUGGAACAUAUACAUGUGCAUGCGCUAAAAGUAUUUAAUACAGAUUCACUGACUUAUUUUCUAAAAAAUCUUUGUGAUAUUUCUCAAAAUACUAUAAACCAGAGAAAUAUU
Non-coding RNA from Callithrix jacchus (white-tufted-ear marmoset), 12228 nucleotides. The record is from RefSeq and is a predicted model, not a curated record. Lineage: Eukaryota; Metazoa; Chordata; Mammalia; Primates; Cebidae.